AUGAAUCUCCUCGCCUGGAACUGCCGAGGAUUGGGGUUGGACUCGGCGGUGGGUGAACUACGGGACCUCAUUAGGUCACACAACCCAGCGGUGGUUUUCUUAUCUGAAACUAAAAAAAGGUCGGGGGCAAUGGAGAGACUCAAGUGGAGUUUGGGGUUCAGCAAGGGGGUCGCGGUGGAUUGCAAAGGAAAAAGUGGAGGCCUUGCGCUUUGGUUCGGCCAUGGUGCCAAUACUAUAUAG
This 240-nucleotide ribosomal RNA is filed under the name Triticum aestivum (bread wheat). RNAcentral describes it as "partial small subunit ribosomal RNA". Lineage: Eukaryota; Viridiplantae; Streptophyta; Magnoliopsida; Poales; Poaceae. The record is from RNAcentral.